RNAcentral lists this ribosomal RNA (253 nucleotides) under uncultured bacterium. RNAcentral describes it as "partial 16S ribosomal RNA". It matches the Rfam family "Bacterial small subunit ribosomal RNA", at positions 524 to 776 of the family's 1533-position model. The record is from RNAcentral.
UACGGGGGGGGCAAGCGUUGUUCGGAAUUACUGGGCGUAAAGGGCUCGUAGGCGGCCAACUAAGUCGGACGUGAAAUCCCCAGGCUCAACCUGGGAACUGCGUCCGAUACUGGAUGGCUUGAAUCCGGGAGAGGGAUGCAGAAUUCCAGGUGUAGCGGUGAAAUGCGUAGAUAUCAGGAGGAACACCGGUGGCGAAGGCGGCUAUCUGGACAGAGUCUGACGCUGAGGCGCGAAAGCUAGGGGAGCAAACAGG